Molecule: ribosomal RNA, 464 nt
Filed under: uncultured bacterium
Lineage: Bacteria
Description: partial 16S ribosomal RNA
Rfam family: Bacterial small subunit ribosomal RNA
Source: RNAcentral
GACGAACGCUGGCGGCGUGCUUAACACAUGCAAGUCGAACGGAAAGGCCCAGCUUGCUGGGUGCUCGAGUGGCGAACGGGUGAGUAACACGUGGGUGAUCUGCCCCUAACUUCGGGAUAAGCUUGGGAAACUGGGUCUAAUACCGGAUAGGACAAUCGUUUAGUGUCGGUUGUGGAAAGUUUUUUCGGUUAGGGAUGAGCCCGCGGCCUAUCAGCUUGUUGGUGGGGUAAUGGCCUACCAAGGCGUCGACGGGUAGCCGGCCUGAGAGGGUGGACGGCCACAUUGGGACUGAGAUACGGCCCAGACUCCUACGGGAGGCAGCAGUGGGGAAUAUUGCACAAUGGGCGCAAGCCUGAUGCAGCGACGCCGCGUGGGGGAUGACGGCCUUCGGGUUGUAAACCUCUUUCGACAGGGACGAAGCUUUGGUGUCGGUACCUGUAGAAGAAGCACCGGCUAACUACGUG